UGGGGAAUUUUGGACAAUGGGCGAAAGCCCUGAUCCAGCAAUGCCGCGUGUGUGAAGAAGGCCUUCGGGUUGUAAAGCACUUUUGUCCGGAAAGAAAUCCUUGGCUCUAAUACAGUCGGGGGAUACGGUACCGGAAGAAUAAGCACCGGCUAACUACGUGCCAGCAGCCGCGGUAAUACGUAGGGUGCAAGCGUUAAUCGGAAUUACUGGGCGUAAAAGCGUGCGCAGGCGGUUUGCUAAGACCGAUGUGAAAAUCCCCGGGCUCAAACCCUGGGGAAACUGCAUUGGUGACUGGCAGGCUAGAGUAUGGCAGAGGGGGGUAGAAUUCCACGUGUAGCAGUGAAAAUGCGUAGAGAUGUGGAGGAAUACCGAUGGCGAAAGGCAGCCCCCCUGGGCCAAUACUGACGCUCAUGCAC
Molecule: ribosomal RNA, 416 nt
Filed under: uncultured bacterium
Lineage: Bacteria
Description: partial 16S ribosomal RNA
Rfam family: Bacterial small subunit ribosomal RNA
Source: RNAcentral